This 515-nucleotide ribosomal RNA is filed under the name Enterobacter cloacae. Its description in RNAcentral is "bacterial SSU rRNA". It matches the Rfam family "Bacterial small subunit ribosomal RNA", at positions 148 to 658 of the family's 1533-position model. The record is from RNAcentral. Lineage: Bacteria; Pseudomonadati; Pseudomonadota; Gammaproteobacteria; Enterobacterales; Enterobacteriaceae.
UACUGGAAACGGUAGCUAAUACCGCAUAACGUCGCAAGACCAAAGAGGGGGACCUUCGGGCCUCUUGCCAUCAGAUGUGCCCAGAUGGGAUUAGCUAGUAGGUGGGGUAACGGCUCACCUAGGCGACGAUCCCUAGCUGGUCUGAGAGGAUGACCAGCCACACUGGAACUGAGACACGGUCCAGACUCCUACGGGAGGCAGCAGUGGGGAAUAUUGCACAAUGGGCGCAAGCCUGAUGCAGCCAUGCCGCGUGUAUGAAGAAGGCCUUCGGGUUGUAAAGUACUUUCAGCGGGGAGGAAGGUGUUGUGGUUAAUAACCACAGCAAUUGACGUUACCCGCAGAAGAAGCACCGGCUAACUCCGUGCCAGCAGCCGCGGUAAUACGGAGGGUGCAAGCGUUAAUCGGAAUUACUGGGCGUAAAGCGCACGCAGGCGGUCUGUCAAGUCGGAUGUGAAAUCCCCGGGCUCAACCUGGGAACUGCAUUCGAAACUGGCAGGCUAGAGUCUUGUAGAGGG